UAAGGUCGGACAAGUCGGAGAGCUGCGAAGAGCGACCACGAGCGUCAGUAGCGCGAACAGUUCCUUCGGAGGAAGCGGUCG
RNAcentral lists this unclassified non-coding RNA (81 nucleotides) under Rhodotorula toruloides. Lineage: Eukaryota; Fungi; Basidiomycota; Microbotryomycetes; Sporidiobolales; Sporidiobolaceae. The record is from RNAcentral.